UUAACUAAAGCCAAAAUAGAGGCAAUUUAUUGUUAAUAAAGUUAUUGAAUUCAUUUUCUAGUUAAA
Molecule: transfer RNA, 66 nt
Filed under: Okiscarta uchidae
Lineage: Eukaryota; Metazoa; Arthropoda; Insecta; Hemiptera; Cercopidae
Description: tRNA-Asn
Source: RNAcentral